This 61-nucleotide transfer RNA is filed under the name Scymninae sp. 4 ACP-2013. RNAcentral's name for it is "tRNA-Pro". Lineage: Eukaryota; Metazoa; Arthropoda; Insecta; Coleoptera; Coccinellidae. The record is from RNAcentral.
AGAAAAUAGUUUAUUAAAAUAUUAAUUUUGGAGAUUAAAGAUGAGGGUACUUUUUUCUGAU